AGUGAACGCUGGCGGUAGGCCUAACACAUGCCAGUCGAACGGCAGCACAGUAAGAGCUUGCUCUUACGGGUGGCGAGUGGCGGACGGGUGAGGAAUACAUCGGAAUCUACUUUUUCGUGGGGGAUAACGUAGGGAAACUUACGCUAAUACCGCAUACGACCUACGGGUGAAAGCAGGGGAUCUUCGGACCUUGCGCGAUUGAAUGAGCCGAUGUCGGAUUAGCUAGUUGGCGGGGUAAAGGCCCACCGAGGCGACGAUCCGUAGCUGGUCUGAGAGGAUGAUCAGCCACACUGGAACUGAGACACGGUCCAGACUCCUACGGGAGGCAGCAGUGGGGAAUAUUGGACAAUGGGCGCAAGCCUGAUCCAGCCAUACCGCGUGGGUGAAGAAGGCCUUCGGGUUGUAAAGCCCUUUUGUUGGGAAAGAAAAGCAGCAGGUUAAUACCCCGCUGUCCUGACGGUACCCAAAGAAUAAGCACCGGCUAACUUCGUG
RNAcentral lists this ribosomal RNA (492 nucleotides) under uncultured bacterium. RNAcentral describes it as "partial 16S ribosomal RNA". It matches the Rfam family "Bacterial small subunit ribosomal RNA", at positions 29 to 507 of the family's 1533-position model. The record is from RNAcentral.